Molecule: transfer RNA, 72 nt
Filed under: Camelus bactrianus (Bactrian camel)
Lineage: Eukaryota; Metazoa; Chordata; Mammalia; Artiodactyla; Camelidae
Also listed under: 2 other names
Rfam family: tRNA
About the family: Transfer RNA (tRNA) molecules are approximately 80 nucleotides in length. Their secondary structure includes four short double-helical elements and three loops (D, anti-codon, and T loops).
Source: Rfam by way of RNAcentral
GAGGGUAGAGCUCAGUGGUAGAGCAUGUGCUUAGCGCACACGAGGUCCUGGGUUCAAUGCCUAGUCCCUCCA